ACCGCUCAUGACAGCCACAAAUAUGAAUUUAAUGAAACAAUUCCAGAUCCUCCUGAGAUGGAAAAGUUGAGACAAGAUCUUACAUCUUUAAGCUCAGCAGCAGAAAUUGCCAUAAGAAAUCAAGAGAUCUGUUAAUCAAAAUGUAUCUUGGAAAUGGACAUACUCAUGUUUUCCCCAAGCCCUCAACAAGUAUGUCAAGAAC
RNAcentral lists this unclassified non-coding RNA (202 nucleotides) under Hevea brasiliensis (rubber tree). The record is from RNAcentral. Lineage: Eukaryota; Viridiplantae; Streptophyta; Magnoliopsida; Malpighiales; Euphorbiaceae.